AUUGAACGCUGGCGGCAUGCCUUACACAUGCAAGUCGAACGGUAACGGGCCUUCGGGUGCCGACGAGUGGCGAACGGGUGAGUAAUACAUCGGAACGUGCCCGAUCGUGGGGGAUAACGAGGCGAAAGCUUUGCUAAUACCGCAUACGAUCUACGGAUGAAAGCAGGGGACCGCAAGGCCUUGCGCGGACGGAGCGGCCGAUGGCAGAUUAGGUAGUUGGUGGGAUAAAAGCUUACCAAGCCGACGAUCUGUAGCUGGUCUGAGAGGAUGAUCAGCCACACUGGGACUGAGACACGGCCUAGACUCCUACGGGAGGCAGCAGUGGGGAAUUUUGGACAAUGGGCGCAAGCCUGAUCCAGCCAUGCCGCGUGCAGGAUGAAGGCCUUCGGGUUGUAAACUGCUUUUGUACGGAACGAAAAGCCUUCUUUUAAUACAGGAGGGUCAUGACGGUACCGUAAGAAUAAGCACCGGCUAACUACGUG
This 482-nucleotide ribosomal RNA is filed under the name uncultured bacterium. Its description in RNAcentral is "partial 16S ribosomal RNA". It matches the Rfam family "Bacterial small subunit ribosomal RNA", at positions 30 to 507 of the family's 1533-position model. The record is from RNAcentral.